This is a long non-coding RNA of Rosa chinensis, 1556 nucleotides long. RefSeq lists it as uncharacterized. The transcript is spliced from 8 exons. Lineage: Eukaryota; Viridiplantae; Streptophyta; Magnoliopsida; Rosales; Rosaceae. The record is from RefSeq and is a predicted model, not a curated record.
GACUAAGCAUCUCUUGCUAAGCAACUGUUUACACCGACCUCCACUGUUACACCCAAAUGCCCAAAUCGGUGAUCCCAAUAGUACCGAUUCUUCCGAGAUUGAGAGUGUUAUCAAAAUGAAAAUUAACUAAGAAUCAGCGAGUGUGGAAGAGGAGGGAUUUACUUGAUGUCCUGCAAAUAUUUGUGUUACGCCAUUUGCAGAGAAGAGCGUGCAGGCUUGCCAUCGCUGUUGAGGUCCAAAGAACAAGUCUCCUAGGGCAAAACCAUUUGGGUUCUGCGGACGAAGAGAAAAAGAGAGGGGACGAAGGAAAAAAAAAAAAAAAAAAGGGGAGAAGAGAAUAGGGGCAGAAGGGAAAAAAGAAGAAAUUCAGAGGAAGAAAGAAAAGGGGAUAGAGGAAGAACAAAGGAAGGAAAAGAAGUGGCUCUCCCUCUCUGGCGAGCCAUAUCCUUAAUGCCCUUAAAUGAUCUGGCGAACUAUUUUUUCUUCACUGGUCAACACUCUGUAGUUGAGCAACUAACUGAGACAGCACUUGCUAUCACCAACCAUGGACCAACAAGGUCACAUUCCUACUACAGUUUAGCACGACCUUACCAUAGCAAGGGACUGGCUAUGAUAAUGCCACUUCUGAAGUUGCUGUUUUAGGGUUUUCGAUAGGAAUCAAGUCUGCCACAUUAUGGUUGAAGAUACCUAUCUAAAACAGGUUUUAGGUUCUUCGAUAGGAAUCAAGUCUGCCACUUUAUGGUUGAAGAUACCUAUCUAAAACAGGUUUUAGGUUCCUCGAUAGGAAUCAAGUCUGCCACAUUUUGGUUGAAGAUAUGAGAUUGAUAAUCCAUAACUUGGGAAAGUUCUUCUCACACAGGGAUGUCAACGUCAGAAUCUGUAAAUUUGCUGCUACUUUCAUUCAUUCUAUUCUUGGCAUUUUGUAAUACUUUGGUUUAUAUCCCAUCAUUUUAAUGUUGUAUAAGGAAACUAGACUCUGGAACAUGCAAAGCUCAGAGCUAGAGUGGAGAUUUUACAGAGAAAUCAAAGUCAUUUUAUGGGGGAAGACCUCCAAUCCUUGAGUAUGAAAGAGCUUCAGAAUUUGGAGCAGCUACUUGAUUCUGCUCUGAAGCACAUAAGGUCUAGAAGUUCUCCACCUCAAGUUCCCUCUAUUUUUGGUAAUAUAUGUAACGAAUUUUCCCAUGGUUUGCAAGGUUUGUUCAUGUAUUGUAAUCUGCAAAUCGUUUCAUGCAUUUGCCAGUAUAUAUCAUUUUUCCAUAGAAGAUGACAUUGUAAUUCAUAUGCAUCUCUGUUCUUAUCUCUGUGGUCAAUUCAUGACUUGAUGUUUUGAUGAGUACGUUUUUUUCUUUGUUUUUUUUUUCAUUAAAUGAGAGAGUGGGAAUGCUUUGAUGGUUUCUGUGCGUUAUGAGUUUGGCUUUUUGCCUUUGGCUAAUUCAGAACUUGAUUGUGAAAUUUAUUCAUUUUUAUUUUUUAGUUUAUAUUUGUGUUGAAUUUUGUCAGUUUUUAAAUGUAUUGGUGGCAUGGAUUUCUCAUUUGAUUUCUUGGCCAUUUGGGAU